AGAAAAUUCAUUUUUUUUUAAAUUAAUGCAUUAGAAAAGUGUAAAUAUAAUGUUUUUUUUUUUUUUUUUAACUGUUUUUUUGCAUUUUCAGUUUUACUUUAUUUAAUUAAAAAAAAAUUUCAAAAUAAAAAAUUUUAUUGUUUGAUUAUUAUUUGUCCAAGAAAGUUAAAAAAAAAAAAAAAAAAAAAUAUGUAAAAAGUACAAAAAUAAACGAAUGAUUAAUAAAUAAAAAACAAGCAGAUAAAUAAAUAAUAUAUAUUUUAGAAAGUGGUUAAAUAAGCGAAUAAAUAAAUGAAUGGACAAACGAAUGGACACAAACGAGUGGACAAACGAAUGGAUAAACGAAUGGACAAACGAAUGAACAAACGAAUAAAUAAACGAAUAAACAAACGAAUAAACAAACGAACAAACAAACGAAUAAACAAACGAACAAACAAACGAACAAACAAACGAACAAACGAAUGAAUAAAUAGAAAGCCACAUAAACUAAUCAUUCACGUGAUAGGUUUUAUAUGAUUUUUUUUUUUUUUUAACAUUUAUUAUUUAGGUAAACAUUUUUUUAUAAGAAAAAAUUAGUUUUUUUUUUUUUUUUUUAUAAUAUAUAUAUGUAUAUAUAUAUAUAUAUAUAAUAGGCGUGCAAACCAUAAAUUCCAUCUUCUCAAAUCAAACAUAAGAGUAACGUAUUUUUUUUAAAAGUACUAGUUUUGUAUAAUUAAAGUAUUAUGUAAUUUUUUUUGUAAUGUUUUGUAUUUAUAUAUAUAUAUAUAUAUAUAUAUAUAUAUAAACUAAAUAGCACACAUAAUAAGCCGAGCACAUAUGUAAAUCCCUAUACCUAAAAUGUUUUUUUUUUAAAUGCAUUUAUUGGCAAUAAUAAUAUAUAAAUAUAUUUAAAUAUACCGUCGAAGUUAAAACAAUAUAAGAUUGUUUCCUUGGUUUUCAAAAUCAUGACUUAAUAUAAAAUGAUAAUUAAUGCUAAUUCGGUUCAAUUUUUGGAGAACAAAGACAGUGAAUUUCAAAAAAAUGAGAACGAUGGUACAAAUGAAAAAAAUGUGAGGAUAUAUGCAGAUGGCAUAUAUGACCUAUUACAUUUAGGUCAUAUGAAACAACUUCAACAAGCGAAACACUUAGAAAAAAAAAGUUACAUUAAUUGUUGGGGUUUGUAGUGAUAUAGAUACUAGAAAAUUCAAAGGACAGAUAGUACAAACAUUAGAAGAAAGAACUGAAACGUUAAAACAUAUUAGAUGGGUUGAUGAAAUCAUUUCACCUUGUCCAUGGGUAAUAACACCAGAAUUUGUUGAAAAAAUAUAACAUAGAUUAUGUAGCUCAUGAUGAUAUACCAUAUGCUAGUAAUCAAAAAAAUUCUAAUAAAAAAAAAAAAAAAAUAAUAAAAAUAAUUCA
Molecule: long non-coding RNA, 1398 nt
Organism: Piliocolobus tephrosceles (Ugandan red Colobus)
Lineage: Eukaryota; Metazoa; Chordata; Mammalia; Primates; Cercopithecidae
Source: Ensembl